Molecule: long non-coding RNA, 583 nt
Filed under: Gallus gallus (chicken)
Lineage: Eukaryota; Metazoa; Chordata; Aves; Galliformes; Phasianidae
Description: long non-coding RNA NONGGAT003835
Source: RNAcentral
GGAAAGAGGAGAAUGAGCUGAACCUGUACACGCAGAUGAUAGUCACUGAUGGAUCUGUAGUAGAUCAGAGUUCCAAUAUGACCAUGCUCUUGAAAGGGAGGCACUGAAUACAGAGCACAUUUAUCAAGGCAAAAGUGCUUAACUAUGACCUUAAGCACAUGCUGCUGCUUGUUAGUUUAACUGAAGCUGCACAAACAUGAUAAAAGGCUCCCAUUAUUAGCCUCUGUCAAAGUUGGAAGAUUGGACUCCAUAGCUGCCUUUGAAUUCUUGGUAGACUACAGUCUGUUCUUAGGACUGACCUUGUCACAGGCCUUAUUACACAUGGCAGCUAGAGACACCAAGUGAAGUAUGAAGAAACUUUGUCUUUUCUGAGCCAUCUUCUCAUAUGUAGCUGAAAGCUACACAGAGGAAGAAGAAAUGAUUCUACAGACCUACUGUCACACUGUGUUUCCAUGGGUGCGUGGGCAAACUGAUCUAGUACUUGAUCCAGCAGCUGUCUGUGACAGAGAAGGUGGAACUUGACUGACGUCCCUUCCAACCCAAGCCAUUGUAUGGUUCUAUGAAUAUAUUCCAAAUAUCCGAA